AAAGAAAUAAAAACUCAUCAGUCGAAUCAGUUUAGAAUAAUUUGAUUGCUAGAUGGGAAGGCAACGUUUACAGAGGGCGGGGCUUCACUGCCCCGGCUCACUGAAGACGACAGCGGUAUAUCUGACAGAGGAAACGGUAGGAGCACGAAGUUUGUUUCUGUGCUACAUUUGUGUUUCCUUUUCAUGUGUGAGGAUGUAGCUCCGUCCGUCACUCCUGCUCGCACCAGAGUUUUAUUCCCACGGUGCCCUGUCCAUAGUCAUCGCAGGCUGUGAUCUGGCUGCUAACUAUGAGGACAGAUUGAUGAUGUGGAAGCUCCUGCCCUAUGUGACUUUUGUCUUGGAUGUGGCCUCUCAGCAGUUAUGUGUCUCUCAACACAUCAACAUUUGAAACUACACCUAAUAAAGGAGCAAAUGGAGAAAGAGAAUCAAGACUGGAUGUGAUAGUGGCCUAUGCUCAAGUAGUUAUAAUAUUCGUUGCAGCAGUUUUAUUCUUUCUGUGGGGCCUGAAGGAAGCAAUCGAAGCUCCAAAAAUAAGGGUAUGCAUUUGUGUUUGUUUUCAGUGGAACAGUUUUUUUUCUUAUGAUAAAUGCAUUUUUUAAAAAUCCACUUAUGUCCUUUCAGUGUUACAGAUCAACACCUGGACAGAUGUUCCUUUAUCAAGCUCCUCAAAGUAUCAACAUUUUGUAAAGUGCUUUUGCAAAAGUUGGCUCCUGGAGUGGGGUUCUCGCCUCAGUCAUCCCCGCUCUCCUGGACCUGGGCCCCCAGCUGCUGGUACAGCAUCGCCAACUAGCCCGCCUCUCACCUGCCUGCCUCCCCACGCCUCGACCUCAUCCGGGCCUUGCGCCCCACCUGUCCCCUCCACCUGAAACCAAUGCACCGGUCACUUCAUAGUACUUUUCCCGGCCCAAGCUUCCACCUCCCCACUGCCACAGCUGUAUUCUACAGCUGUCUAGCUUUCCUUUAGUUGACUAGUUUUGACUGCGCGUCCACUAGUGUAGUGGCGUCAUUUUGAUUUGGCUUGUGUUUAAUUGUGGGGAGAGAAAUAAACCUUUUGGUUCACUCACUCUCGCUUCCGGUUUGGAUUCUGCACUUGUGUCCAUCCCACUUACCUUGUAAAUGGUAAAUGGCCUGUAUUUAUAUAGCGCUUUACUAGUCCCUAAGGACCCCAAAGCUUUACAUAUCCAGUCAUUCACCCAUUCACACACACAUUCACACACUGGUGAUGGCAAGCUACGUUGUAGCCACAGCCACCCUGGGGCGCACUGACAGAGGCGAGGCUGCCGGACACUGGCGCCACCGGGCCCUCUGACCACCACCAGUAGGCAACGGGUGAAGUGUCUUGCCCAAGGACACAACGACCGAGACUGUCCGAGCCGGGGCUCGAACCGGUAACCUUCCGAUUACAAGGCGAACUCC
This is a long non-coding RNA of Oreochromis aureus, 1416 nucleotides long. The record is from Ensembl. NCBI's taxonomy places the organism in Eukaryota, Metazoa, Chordata, Actinopteri, Cichliformes, Cichlidae.